GGCCUGAUGGUCUAGUAGUAUGAUUCCUUGUUAGGGUUGUUUGACCAAAUCGAGGAGGUCCCGGGUUCAAUUCCCGGUCAGGCCC
RNAcentral lists this transfer RNA (85 nucleotides) under Armillaria borealis. Its description in RNAcentral is "tRNA-Pro". It matches the Rfam family "tRNA". Rfam says of the family: Transfer RNA (tRNA) molecules are approximately 80 nucleotides in length. Lineage: Eukaryota; Fungi; Basidiomycota; Agaricomycetes; Agaricales; Physalacriaceae. The record is from RNAcentral.